This 850-nucleotide ribosomal RNA is filed under the name uncultured marine bacterium. RNAcentral's name for it is "bacterial SSU rRNA". It matches the Rfam family "Bacterial small subunit ribosomal RNA", at positions 38 to 911 of the family's 1533-position model. The record is from RNAcentral.
GGGUGAGGCGAGCUAAAUGCAGUUGACGAAUUAAGUUUUAUAAAUUUAUUUUAUAAACUUAAGUUAAGUAGCGGACGGGUGAGUAACAUGUAAGAACCUACCUUUAGGAAGGGAAUAACUAUUGGAAACGGUAGCUAAUACCCUAUAAGCUGAGGAGUAAAAGGUGAAAACCACCUAAAGAUGGGCUUGCAUCUGAUUAGCUUGUUGGUGAAUUAAUUGUUUACCAAGGCGAUGAUCAGUAGUUGGUCUAAGAGGAUGAUCAACCACACUGGGAUUGAGACACGGCCCAGACCUCUACGGAGGGCAGCAGUGAGGAAUUUUCCGCAAUGGGCGAAAGCCUGACGGAGCAAUGCCGCGUGGAUGACGAAGGCUUUUGAGUCGUAAAAUCCUUUUCUUAGUGAAGAAAAUAGACGGUAACUAAGGAAUAAGCAUCGGCUAAUUCCGUGCCAGCAGCCGCGGUAAUACGGGAGAUGCGAGCGUUAUUCGGAAUUAUUGGGCGUAAAGCGUCUGUAGGUGGCUAUUUAAGUCUACUGUUAAAUAUCAAGGCUUAACCUUGAAAAAGCGGUAUGAAACUAAAAAGCUUGAGUUUAGUAGGGGUAAAGGGAAUUCUCGGUGUAGUGGUGAAAUGCGUAGAUAUCGGGAAGAACACCUGUGGCGAAGGCGCUUUACUGGGCUAAAACUGACAUUGAGAGACGAAAGCUAGGGGAGCAAAUAGGAUUAGAUACCCUAGUAGUCUUAGAUGUAAACGAUGGAUACUGAGUGUUGGACGAAAUAGAGUUCAGUGCUGUAGCUAACGCGUUAAGUAUCCCGCCUGGGGAGUAUGCUCGCAAGAGUAAAACUCAAAGGAAUU